GACGAACGCUGGCGGCGUGCCUAAUACAUGCAAGUUGAGCGCUGAAGGUUGGUACUUGUACCGACUGGAUGAGCAGCGAACGGGUGAGUAACGCGUGGGGAAUCUGCCUUUGAGCGGGGGACAACAUUUGGAAACGAAUGCUAAUACCGCAUAAAAACUUUAAACACAAGUUUUAAGUUUGAAAGAUGCAAUUGCAUCACUCAAAGAUGAUCCCGCGUUGUAUUAGCUAGUUGGUGAGGUAAAGGCUCACCAAGGCGAUGAUACAUAGCCGACCUGAGAGGGUGAUCGGCCACAUUGGGACUGAGACACGGCCCAAACUCCUACGGGAGGCAGCAGUAGGGAAUCUUCGGCAAUGGACGAAAGUCUGUCCGAGCAACGCCGCGUGAGUGAAGAAGGGUUUCGGAUCGUAAAACUCUGUUGGUAGAGAAGAACGUUGGUGAGAGUGGAAAGCUCAUCAAGUGACGGUAACUACCCAGAAAGGGACGGCUAACUACGUG
RNAcentral lists this ribosomal RNA (497 nucleotides) under uncultured bacterium. RNAcentral describes it as "partial 16S ribosomal RNA". It matches the Rfam family "Bacterial small subunit ribosomal RNA", at positions 28 to 507 of the family's 1533-position model. The record is from RNAcentral.